Molecule: long non-coding RNA, 504 nt
Organism: Nymphalis io (European peacock)
Lineage: Eukaryota; Metazoa; Arthropoda; Insecta; Lepidoptera; Nymphalidae
Exons: 3
Source: RefSeq, a predicted model, not a curated record
CGUUGAGCAGGCGCCGGUCGCUUACCGACGCCUCUCAGUUUUAAACUAUUAAAUAUACUCCUUUUGAUUAUAUAGAAAAUUAAUCUAACGGAGUGUUACCUACGUCAUCCAAUUUGUAAAACUUAUUUGAGAGGUUCGGGUUACCAAACUGUAACUGGAGUGUUUUUUUUCUAUAAUUUUAUAUAUACUUUGUAUAUUGCAUUACAAAGUCAUAUAAUAUUUUUCGGUGGACUCAACCGAGGAAUUGAUGCUGAUUUGGAGCUGUUGGAGGCUCUGCUAUUUUAUGGAGGAGGCUGCUUGUCCGGUGGCCUGCUGUUGCUGCUGGUGCUUUUUGCUGCUUCGCACUGCUUUUAUUUAUUUGUUCACUCAUUGUGACAAUGCGUUCAGUGUUUGCACUAUCCUGCUUAUCUAUUUAAAUCUAUUACUUAAUUUUAACCGAUGCCAACUCACUUACAGCUAACUUACUUAUAAUAUUUUAUUGUAUUAAUGUUAACUUAAUCGCCG